Long non-coding RNA from Ipomoea triloba (trilobed morning glory), 1404 nucleotides. RefSeq lists it as uncharacterized. The record is from RefSeq and is a predicted model, not a curated record. The transcript has 3 exons. Lineage: Eukaryota; Viridiplantae; Streptophyta; Magnoliopsida; Solanales; Convolvulaceae.
UCUGCCGCACAGCUUCAAUCCCUCAAUCUCCAUCUGUAAACACCACAACCUUCGCCCCUUCGCCCCUUCGCCAUGGCCGCCGCCGACGCCACUGCCACAGCUGCCGACAACGCCACCGCCAUAGCCACAGCUACCGACGCCACCGCCAUAGCCACAGCUCACACACCACCGCCACCGUCGUUUCUUCUGAUUGAGAGAGCACUGCGACGCUGCCGCUGCCAUCGCCUCCCCAUCGCCAGAGCCGACGCCUCCACCCCAGCCACCGCCGUCCACUCACCAGUCAUCACUCACGCUGUCACGCAGGCCGCAGCCACCACUCGCCUGACCACCGGUGAAGGCCACCGGCGACAAAAGAGGUUGAAGAGGUCAAAACAUGGUUUGAGUAGAGACUGAUAGCUAAAAUGGUACUGAUGUCAUUAUGAAAGAGGCAAACAUGACUUGCAUUUCAUUCAGUUUGUGUAUUUUCCUGGACUUAAUGUUUUAUAUAACUUAAUCUGGAGUUUGCAAACCGCAGAUGAACUUUUUUUGACUACUUGCAGUGAUGAAAUAAUUUAGACAUUGCUGCAAAAGCUUGCAGUUACAGAUCCUCCUUUCACUUUGACCCCACUUUAGCCACUAAAUAUAGAUUGUUUCCUGCACAAUCACUUUCUAACUAUCGUAUUUCAGUUUUUUCAGAUUUAGAAGUAUAACCAUCAAUUCAUGCGCUUGCCUUUAAAGAUGGAGGCUCUAGAAGUUGUUCUUUCUCAAGCACUUGGCCAAGAAAGGCCUAUUACUGAUUUUCUACAUGAGAAUGGUUCAUUGUAAUGUGAGGGGAAGUCUUGAUCCUCCGUGCAAUGCAGUUGGCUUCAUUGAUCGACUUAUUCUUGGUGAAAGUCAUCUCUAUCAACGCCCUGUCUACAAAAGAACCAAGGUUGGUCAACUUUUUUCUUUGGUGCUGCUUUUGCUUUGCUGGAAUCUUAAACUCCUGUAGCUUUAUCAUAACAUUUUUGCUAAUCCAGUUUAUUUUAGUAGGAAUGCAAUAUCAAUUCCCCUGAUUAUGCAGUUAUGCUCUCUUUAUCCCUCUCCCUCUUCCUUUAUUUUUAUUUUUCUACAUUCAAUUUUCAGCCAAGGGGUCCUUUGCUCUAUGGGAUUUUAGGUACAAUAACAGUAGUCGCCAAAGACUUUGUAGCUUUCAAUUAUUUUUAAUUUGGAACUUUAAAUUUGUAAUUUCAUGGAUUAUUUUUUAGUUUUUACAGUGAAGUACUGUAAUUGGAAUUGUAAUAGUUUUUGUAUUGAGUUGAGAGUUACAAUAUAUAAGCUCCUAACAGCAGUGGCCAAAGACUUUGUAGCUUUCAAUUAUUUUUAAUUUGGAACUAUAAAUUUGUUGUAAUUUAAUGGAUUAUAUUUUAGUUUUUACAGUACAGU